Molecule: ribosomal RNA, 144 nt
Filed under: bacterium
Lineage: Bacteria
Description: partial 16S ribosomal RNA
Source: RNAcentral
CCUUCCGGGAGCCGCAAUCGGGAAUAUUUGGCAAUUGGGGAAGAUCUGAACGCACCACCCGGCGUGGAGGAGGAAGGCUUUCGGGUUCAAAAAUUCCUCAGGGGGGAGGAAGAUAUGACGUAUCCANNGAAGANCNACCGCNNG